GACGAACGCUGGCGGCGUGCUUAACACAUGCAAGUCGAACGGAAAGGCCCUGCUUUUGUGGGGUGCUCGAGUGGCGAACGGGUGAGUAACACGUGAGUAACCUGCCCUUGACUUUGGGAUAACUUCAGGAAACUGGGGCUAAUACCGGAUAGGAGCUCCUGCUGCAUGGUGGGGGUUGGAAAGUUUCGGCGGUUGGGGAUGGACUCGCGGCUUGUCAGCCUGUUGGUGGGGUAGUGGCUUACCAAGGCUUUGGCGGGUAGCCGGCCUGAGAGGGUGACCGGCCACAUUGGGACUGAGAUGCGGCCCAGACUCCUACGGGAGGCAGCAGUGGGGAAUAUUGCACAAUGGGCGGAAGCCUGAUGCAGCAACGCCGCGUGCGGGAUGACGGCCUUCGGGUUGUAAACCGCUUUCGCCUGUGACGAAGCGUGAGUGACGGUAAUGGGUAAAGAAGCACCGGCUAACUACGUG
This 468-nucleotide ribosomal RNA is filed under the name uncultured bacterium. RNAcentral's name for it is "partial 16S ribosomal RNA". It matches the Rfam family "Bacterial small subunit ribosomal RNA", at positions 28 to 507 of the family's 1533-position model. The record is from RNAcentral.